AAUGUGUGGCAGCAACGCACAUGGUGUGUGCCACUGCCCAGGCACACAGUGCAUCAGUCCACCAGUGAGUACACAUCACAGCCAACAAAAUCAUCUCUUUUACAUGGCACUCUUCUCUCCACAACCACAAGCCCACGGCCACCCCCACAGUGCACGAAAUUUUCUUCAAGGCCCCCCGCUACUCCUCUGCUUGCAUUUUAGCCCCCUCUUGCAACUCUUUUCUCUACUCCUUUAAGCCCCACAAGCGCUUCCAUUUCCUCAAGCCAUGUUCCUCCCUGAAACAGACCAACAAGCAGAAGACCCUUCAGAAGAGUAAUGCCCCUCAGAGUGUGAAACGGUUCUUGAGUCCCAAGAGUGGUGGUGGUGAUGAUGAUGAUGAAAAUAGGAGGACAGGAGAGGGCUUGGAUAGUGAUACUGCUUUAAAAGGUACCUUUUUGGCUGGAGUUUUGCUUUGUAGGUGUUGUUGGUGGAUUUGAGACCGUUGAGCAUAUCUGUAAGGACCAGAUUAAUGCGUUUUUGGACCAGUUUUCUGUGUUUAUUGAAGCUGAUUAUUGGAGGAUGACCUGAUUGUAUGGCGAUCGAGAAUUCUUACCAUUUUUAUAUGGAGAAAAAUGAAACGAGAAUUCAUCCUAAAUAUGCUCAAAAAUAUCAAAUAUGUAGUUUUGGAGUUGUUAGAUUCCUGGAUAAAUUUUGGCAGCACCUCCCCUGUAAAAUGGUGUCCCAGAAAUGUAUCUCGAACUCAGUUUCAACGUAUUCAACUCUACUGCAAUAAAAAUGAUAUGUGCUUUACCGUAAA
Molecule: long non-coding RNA, 796 nt
Organism: Mangifera indica (mango)
Lineage: Eukaryota; Viridiplantae; Streptophyta; Magnoliopsida; Sapindales; Anacardiaceae
Exons: 2
Source: RefSeq, a predicted model, not a curated record